CCUACGGGGGGCAGCAGUCGAGAAUCAUUCACAAUGGGGGAAACCCUGAUGGUGCGACGCCGCGUGGGGGAAUGAAGGUCUUCGGAUUGUAAACCCCUGUCAUGUGGGAGCAAAUUAAAAAGAUAGUACCACAUGAGGAAGAGUCGGCUAACUCUGUGCCAGCAGCUGCGGUAAUACAGAGGUCUCAAGCGUUGUUGGGAAUCACUGGGCGUAAAGCGUGCGUAGGCUGUUUCGUAAGUCGUGUGUGAAAGGUGCGGGCUCAACCGUCAGACUGCACAUGAUACUGCGAGACUUGAGUAAUGGAGGGGGAGCCGGAAUUCUCGGUGUAGCAGUGAAAUGCGUAGAUAUCGAGAGGAACACUCGUGGUGAAGGCGGGUUCCUGGACAUUAACUGACGCUGAGGCACGAAGGCCAGGGGAGCGAAAGGGAUUAGAUACCCGAGUAGUC
RNAcentral lists this ribosomal RNA (446 nucleotides) under uncultured bacterium. Its description in RNAcentral is "partial 16S ribosomal RNA". It matches the Rfam family "Bacterial small subunit ribosomal RNA", at positions 338 to 795 of the family's 1533-position model. The record is from RNAcentral.